This 8481-nucleotide long non-coding RNA is filed under the name Lactuca sativa (garden lettuce). Its description in RNAcentral is "long non-coding RNA (LSAT_LNC005982)". Lineage: Eukaryota; Viridiplantae; Streptophyta; Magnoliopsida; Asterales; Asteraceae. The record is from RNAcentral.
AAAACCCUAUCUCUAAUGAUCAACACUAAAACUGGAGAAGGUUCGAACUAUUACCUCAAAAUGAAGUCUCUGAACUCUGGAACUACUAGAAUCGCACCUCCUCUUGCUCUUGGUCACCUUCUUCUUGCUAAACCAAAGGUACAAGGAUCAAAUGUGACUUCUUCUUCCUCACAACGAUUUGGCUCACUUAGGGUUCUCUCAAGGGACUGGUAGCCGCAAUGGGAGGCUAUAAGUGCCCUUAAAUAGGCCCCAAACCCGGGGGGUUAGGGUUUCAUUAAAUAGCGUGGACGCGUCGAGUCCACGAAUGGACUCGCCGAGUCCGGAUGUGAACCCGGAUGAACAUCCGCGACCAUACUCGGCGAGUCUUGGCACCAACUCGCCGAGUUCCUCCACAAACUCCAAAAUAAUUAAAUAAAAUAAUAUACCUGGAAAUCCGGAUGUUACAAUUCUCCCCCACUAGAAUAAGACUUCGUCCUCGAAGUCUCACUCUGAAAACAACUUCGGAUGCUGCUCACGCAUCUCACGCUCCGGCUCCCAAGUAAGCUCUGACCCUUUCCGAUGCUGCCACUGGACCUGCACCAGAGGCACUUCCUUGUUCCUCAGAACCUUGAUCUUUCGAUCCUGAAUCGCCCCCAGUCUCUCAACAUAGUUCAGGCCCACAUCCACCUGAAUAUCCUCUAAUGGAACCACCGCCGACUCGUCGGCUAUACACUCUCUCAGCUGCGACAUCUGGAAGGUGUUGUAAAUCUGAUCCAGCUCUGCAGGUAGCUCCAACCGGUAGGCUAACCUGCCUACCCUCACGAUCACCCUAAAAGGACCGAUAUAUCGGGGUCCCAACUUGCCCCUCUUCCUGAAUCUAGACAUGCACAAAGACCCGAUCCGAUCCGAUCCGAUCCGGUUUGAUUAUGUCACGCCCAAUCCGAUUCAACCUUUAAUCCGAACCGGUUUCAAACCGGAUUUGACCGGUUUUCCAAGCCCCGCAUCCGAUUCGGUUUAAUCCGAUCCGAUCCGAUUUUCUCUAUUUUUUUUAAAUACACAUUUUUUGGACCUCAAAUAUAACACAAAAUGCAACAUUGGUACAUUUUUUUGAGUAUUAUGAAAAUAAGUAGUAAAUUUUUUGUGUAAAAUUGAAAUGUAGCAAAUGAAAGGUAUAUGUAGGUGUUUAGAAGUGCAAAAAAGUAAAAAAAAAAGUAAAAGUAGCCGUUUUUUUAAGUUCUAACGGCUAGUUUUUAAAAAAAAAAUCCAAAUUUUCCCGUUUUUUAACGGUAACAAUAAAAUCCUGUUUUGGAUCCGGUUCGGUCAAAAUCCGGUUCUCAAUCCGGGGGUCUAAUCCGAUUCACUAUCCGAAGUCUCGAUCCGGUUUCAAUCCGGUGGCCGGUUCAAUCCGAUCCGGUUCGGUCAAAACCGGUUUUGACCAAAUCCGGUUUUCAGAUCGGAUCGGAUCCUAUAGCCCAAACCGGUUUUUGUGUGCAUGACUACCUGAAUCGGAUCACUCCUUUCCAAGGAGAGACCUUUAGGAGUACGAAGUCGCCGACCUGGAACUCGAGCUCGGACCGGCGCCUGUCCGCAUAACUCUUCUGACGACUCUGAGCGGUCAAUAACCUCUGCCAGACCUGGUGAAUCUGCUCAGUCGUCUGACGCACGAUCUUGGGAUUACCCAUCACACGCUGCCCUACUUCUCCCCAGCAAAUGGGGGUCCGACACCUCCUCCCAUACAACAGCUCAAAGGGUGGCAUACCAAUGCUCGAAUGAUGGCUGUUCUUGUAGGAAAACUCUGCCAAGGGCAAAUAUGUGUCCCAACUCCCGCCGAAAUCCAACACACAUGCUCGGAGUAUAUCCUCGAGCGUCUGAAUCGUCCGCUCGCUCUGUCUAUCAAUCUGGGGGUGGUAUGCGGUAUUAAAAUGCAGCCUAGUACCCAAUUCCUCAUGAAAUUUCUUCCAGAAUCUGGAAGUGAAACGCACAUCUCGGUCUGAGACAAUCGAGACCGACACUCCAUGCCGUGAUACCAUUUCCCUCACAUACAUCUCUGCCAACUUUUCUGCGGAAGAGCUCUCACUGAUAGCGAGGAAAUGAGCGCUCUUUGUCAACCGGUCUACAAUCACCCAAAUUGCAUCGACGCCCCUCGCAGUCCUCUGCAAUUUGGUGAUAAAGCCCAUUGCAAUCUGUUCCCACUUCCACUCGGGAAUCUCUAAUGGCUGCAACUUGCCGUGCGGUCUCUGGUGCUCGGCCUUAACCCUGCGACAGAUUAGGCACCUAUCCACGAACCAUGCAACGUCCCUCUUCAUACAGGGCCACCAAUACUCCCUUUUCAGGUCCAAAUACAUCUUAGUGGCCCCAGGAUGGAUCGAGAACUUCGAUCGAUGUGCCUCCUCCAUCAAAAUGGUAUGCGUUCUGCCCACAAAUGGGACCCAAAUCCGACCCUAAAAUGUCAUGAACCCACGGCUAUCGGUAACGAACUCCGAUACUUGCCCGAUAACUCGCUAUCUCUUCUGGUUUUCUGGUCUGACGGCCUCGGUCCGAGCUCCUCGAAUGGUGUCCAACACUGGAGUCAUCACCGUUAAUCUCAUACAAAUGUCACGCAUCAGAACACUCUCCGCCCUACGACUCAAGGCAUCGGCUACCACGUUGGCCUUCCCCGGGGGAUACAGGAUCUCACAAUCAUAAUCCUUUACCACAUCCAGCCAUCUCCUCUGUCGCAUAUUCAGGUUGGUGUGAUCCACCAAGUACUUUAGGCUCUUGUGAUCCGUGUAUAUGGUACACCGGACCCCAUACAGAUAGUGACGCCAAAUCUUGAGGGCGAACAUUACUGCCCCCAACUCUAAAUCAUGAGUAGGAUAUCUCGCCUCAUGAGGCUUCAGCUGCCUCGAUGCAUAUGCUAUCACAUGGCCUCUCUGCAUAGGCACUGCUCCCAACCCUGAUAUCGACGCGUCACAAUAUACCACAAAAUCCUCCAUUCCCUCCGGAAGGGCUAACACCGGUGCUUCGCAUAGUCUUUGGCGAAGUGUCUCGAAGGAGGUCUGCUGCUCUGGACCCCAAGCAAAAGCUACACCCUUCCGGGUCAACUUAGUGAGUGGCACGGCGAUCUUGGAGAAAUCCCUGAUGAAUCUCCGGUAAUAGCCUGCCAGGACUAAGAAACUCCUGAUCUCCGUGGGUGACCUCGGCACCUCCCAACUCAUCACCGCCUCAAUCUUGGCCGGGUCGACCAAUAUCCCUUUCUUGUUAACGAGAUGUCCCAGGAACUGGACUUCUUGUAACCAGAAAUCACACUUGGAGAAUUUGGCAUAAAGCCUCUCUAAUCUCAAAACCCCUAGGAUCUCCCUUAGAUGCUUCUCAUGCUGCUCUUUACAUCUCGAAUACACCAAAAUGUCGUCGAUGAAUACGAUCACCAAGCGAUCCAACAUCGGUCUACACACCCUGUUCAUGAGAUCCAUGAACACCGUUGGUGUGUUGGUGAGCCCGAAAGGCAUCAUCACGAACUCGUAAUGCCCGUUACGAGCCUGAACGCUGUCUUCUGGAUAUCCUCAUCUCGCACCCUCACCUGAUGAUAUACAGACCUCAAAUUGAUCUUGGAGAACCAAGAUGCUCCCUGCAACUAAUCGAACAAAUCGUCAAUCCCCGGCAACGGGUAACGGUUCUUGACCGUCAAUUUGUUCAACUCCCGGUAAUCAAUGCACAUCCGGUGUGAACCAUCCUUUUUUCUUGACAAAAAGGAUAGGUGCUCCCCACGGCGAACUGCUCGGCCGUAUAAAUCUCUUCCCCAGCAGCUCCUGAAGCUGCGAGGACAACUCCUGCAUCUCUGGAGGUGCGAGGCGAUAGGGCGCCUUGGCGAUAGGCGCAACCCCCGGAACCAAAUCGAUACUGAACUCUACCUGCCUCUCGGGAGGUACACCCGGCAACUCCUCCGGGAAUACAUUUGGGAACUCACGCACUACCGGAACCUCUCCCAUAGAUCUCGGUCUCUCUGAUUCAACCCUUGCGUCCAUCAUAUACGCUAUGAAUCCCUUACAUCCCUGCUAAAGACUCUGCCUCGCCCUGGCGGUUGAGCAAAAUGCUAAACCGGAAUGUGUACCCUCGCCGUAUACCGUAAGAACUCCCCCACUAGGGUCUCGCAUGGUCACCAGCUGUCGCUCGCAACCGAUGAUCGCUCCAAAUCUGCUCAACCAGUCCAUGCCCACGAUGACACAGACAUCCCCCAUCGCAAUAGGGACCAAAUCAAUCGGAAACUCAACCCCAAAAAUAUCAAGUACACAGCCUCUAAUCACCUCGGUGGCAUACUCCGCUCUCUCAUCCGCUAUGGAAACUCUCAGAGGUCAACUCAACGCCUCUCGACUAAUACUGAUGUGUCGGCUAAAAGCCAACGAUACAAAAGAUCAACUCGCACCCAAGUCAAAUAACACUAGAUCAGGUAUAGAAUUCACAAGGAAAGUACCUACGCAUAACAUAAUAUAAGCACAAUAUCUCAAUAUACAAAAGAAUACAUGAAAGAGUACAUACCGGCCACGACAUCGGGUGCUGCGCGGACCUCCUCCGCAGUUAACUGGAAGGCUCUCCCGCGUGCCUUCGGUGCCUCGACCGUCGCAGGCCGAACAUCCGUAGCUCUCACCGUAGUAGGGGCCGAUCCCGGAGAUGCUCCCUGCGCUGACCCUCGCAACUGUGGACACUCUGCCUUCCGGUGUCCAGUCUGGUUGCAGUGAAAACAGACUGAAAACCCCUUGGGGCAAUCCUUGGCGAUAUGCCCCUCCUUGCCACACUUGUAGCAAGACCCUGCUCUGCAUAUCCCAUCGUGGCUCUUGCCGCACUUGCCACAAGUGCGGACCUUCUGGUUCCCAGAUCUUGAAUCAGAAGGUUUGGCCCACUUGGCUGCCGGCUGAGACUGAGCCGGCCGCCGAUCCUUUCCCUGAGACUCAACCUCCUCCCUAGCUUGGGUCUCCAACUCUAUUUCCCUCUUCCGGGAAUUUUCCUGAAGCUCAGCAAAUGUCUGGUACAAUGAGUUUGCCAUGAACUCUCGUAUAUCCCUCCUCAACACACUCAAAUACUGGCUCAUACGUGCCUGCUCGGAGGACACGUGCUCUGGGCAGAACAUCACCCUCUCAUGAAACUUCCGAGUAAUCGCUGUAACCGAAUCAGUACCCUGCUUGAGGGUCAGAAUUCCUGUGCCAAUCGCUCCCUCUCCACCUGGGGAACGUACUCAUAUUGGAACAUAGCAGUGAACCUCUCCCAGGUUACUGCAGCAACCUCAGCAGGCGUGUAGUGCACCGUCACAAACUUCCACCAGUCCUUCGCUCCCAAGCGAAGCUGGUUCAGUGCAAACCGAACUCUCAAAUGCUCAGGGGAUCAGCAAGUAAAGAAGCACCCCUCAAUGUCUGAUAUACAUCUCAUCGCUGCAAUCGGGUCCUAGGUCCCAUCGAACUCUAGUGGUUUCGUGUUGCUGAAUUCCCGGAACAGCAACGCAUCACCACUCUUCGGCCUCGUCGCAGCUAUAGCUGUAGUGGUUGCAGCAACAACAGCCUCAGAAAGAGCAACGUAUCUCUCGUCAAAUGUCUCAAUCAGAGUGGUCUUGAUAGACCCGAACAUCUCUGGUAUCUCUGCCCUGAUGGCCGCAACCACCUCCUCCUCCUGAAUGAUCCUAUGGAUCUCAGCCUCGCUCGUGCUACUGCUCUCUGGCGUGUAGCGUGUCCUACCAUGGUCUCCCUCUCAAAUACAAUAUAAGAAUAUUAGGGACCCCCUCGAGUAUAAUCACACUCGAUAACUCCACCCUACUUGUCCAUUAGUGCCCUAAGGAUUCUUACUUGGACUGCGUACCAACCUGGUAUCUUCAGUAGUACGGGCCCAAUACUACCGUCCAUACCGCAUCAGCAUUCAUCCCAAGUCCUCCUCCUUGAGCCCCAAAUCCCAAGUACUCUACUCUCUCUAUCAUGUGCUACUUAGUAGCAAAUCUCUUAUAAGCACCUCGCUGUUAUCCAAACACUCUUAAGCAUUUCUAGCAGCAAAAUCCCUAAACUAAGGCAUCAUAUAUUUGGCCACUCUAGUCCUAAUAAGAAUAUCUAGUCUACUCUAGCAUGCAUAUCGUAAUUCAUCAUAUAGCAUAACAUAACAUAUCUCAUAACACUUAUUAUGAGGGUAUUUUGGGAAAUCACUGUUCGGGCGCUGGCUGAUCGUACACACGACUCCGCUUUAUUUGUCUCAAAACUCUUUUUACUCUUUUUCAAAAAUUUUACGUUAUUAUUAAAAUUUUCCUCAAAUCCCCAGUUGAGUUCAGAUACGCCCGAAGAUGUAUCCGAAUCCCUCAAACCAAGGCUCUGAUAGAAACUUCUAACACCGUAAAAAUUUGAACAAUUUUUCACUUUUGAAAAUCCCUAAAAUAUCAUUUGUAAACAUAAAUAAAAACAUUGUGUCAACAUUGUAUCAGUUCAAAACCCAAGAUCAAAUAUAUAAACUCGAAUAUGCGUGUGUACGAAUCAUGCCGGCGCCUUCCCGCGAUCAUUGUUGGUACCUGAAACACAUAACACAUAACACUGUAAGCAUAAAUGCUUAGUGAGUUCCCCAAAACCCCCCUCUAACACAUAAUAGCCACUCGAGGCUGUAACUCUGUCGACCCUCGGGUCAAUGUGUCUCAGUGGGGCCCUCCAGCCCCAACUCUCUAUGGGCCCUCUAGCCCUAACUCUAUGGACCCGAAGGUCCUAACUAUGUAACUCUGAAUCACGCAUAUCACAUAUCACCAUAAAUCACAACACAUAAAUAACAUGCAAUUACACUGGCACAUAACUCUGGAAUACUUUAUUACCACACUAGGUAAAGUAUAAUGAGAAGAUUCACCUCAAGCGUCUCGGUAAAUCUUUGACUCGGUAGAAAUAUUGCCUAGCCUCCGCCUAUUCACAUAAAGUAAAUACUCUCAUAAAUAUAACUCUCGAGACUAGACUCAAUCCUCUAUUGGCACCCUCAGAAGGGUAAAAGACUAUUUUACCCCCUCUUGACACAAGGACUCCAUUGCUGACCAAACCCUAAAAGUCAACAAAAGUCAACGGUCAAACUUUGACCCAACUCACCGAGUGCACUCCGGUGACUCGGCGAGUACACACAUGUCCACUAACUCUUUGUCCCGCUUGGUACGUCGAGUCCCUCCCUAUGCUCGACGAGUCACACCAGGCAUGAAUCGCAGGGCCACCCCGACUCAACUCGCCGAGUCUCAAGAACAACUCGGCGAGUACCGCCUUGAACUCCAGUCCUCUAAUCCCCUUUUGACUCACUAAGUCAUCCUCCAACUCGGCAAGUCUACUCACUGAGUAAUUUACGUGAAACCCUAACUCUACUCGCCGAGUCUCAAGAACAACUCGGCGAGUUCAUGUCAUGCACAAACUCUAUUGACCUCCUGAGGUCAGAUCUGUGCCCCUACGCCAUAGAUCUGGCCUUCCCAAGCAUGAAUGCCACGUAAAGUCCAAAUCUUGAUGCUUAUAUAUCAAUAACAAGGCAUCAAAUGGUGAUUUAGUCCCAAAAAUGGCAACCUAAGUCCAAUAACCCCAAACUGAUUCAUAAAGCUCCAAGGGUUAAGGUCUCUGGACCUCCUUGAGCCCAGAUCCAAGGCACAAACUCGAAGAGGGACCAUUUUCUCCACAUAACCACUCUAAAAAGGGGUUAGAAAACCCUAUCUCUAAUGAUCAACACUAAAACUGGAGAAGGUUCGAACUAUUACCUCAAAAUGAAGUCUCUGAACUCUGGAACUGCUAGAAUCGCACCUCCUCUUGCUCUUGGUCACCUUCUUCUUGCUAAACCAAAGGUACAAGGAUCAAAUGUGACUUCUUCUUCCUCACAACGAUUUGGCUCACUUAGGGUUCUCUCAAGGGGCUGGUAGCCGCAAUGGGAGGCUAUAAGUGCCCUUAAAUAGGCCCCAAACCCGGGGGAUUAAGGUUUCAUUAAAUAGCGUGGACGCGUCGAGUCCACGAAUGGACUCGCCGAGUCCGGAUGUGAACCCGGAUGAACAUCCGCGACCAUACUCGGCGAGUCUUGGCACCAACUUGCCGAGUUCCUCCACAAACUCCAAAAUAAUUAAAUAAAAUAAUAUACCUGGAAAUCCGGAUGUUACAAUUCUCCCCCACUAGAAUCAGACUUCGUCCUCGUAGACUCACUCUGAAAACAACUCCGGAUGCUGCUCACGCAUCUCACGCUCCGGCUCCCAAGUAAGCUCUGACCCUUUCUGAUGUUGCCACUGGACCUGCACCAGAGGCACUUCCUUGUUCCUCAGAACCUUGAUCUUUCUAUCCUAAAUCGACACCGGUCUCUCAACAUAGUUCAGGUCCACAUCCACCUGAAUAUCCUCUAAUGGAACCACUGCCGACUCGUCGGCUAUACACUCUCUCAGCUGCGACACGUGGAAGGUGUCGUAAAUCUGAUCCAGCUCUGUAGGUAGCUCCAACCGGUAGGCUAACCUGCCUACCCUCAUGAUCACCCUAAAAGGACCAAUAUAUCAGGGUCCCAACUUGCCCC